AUUUAAGUAGUUUAUAUAAUAAAAUUUAGGUUUGUGGUUCCUAAGAAGUUAAAUUUACCUUAGAUU
Molecule: transfer RNA, 66 nt
Filed under: Nesophrosyne sp. 15 GMB-2012
Lineage: Eukaryota; Metazoa; Arthropoda; Insecta; Hemiptera; Cicadellidae
Description: tRNA-His
Source: RNAcentral